This is a long non-coding RNA of Diabrotica virgifera virgifera (western corn rootworm), 315 nucleotides long. RefSeq lists it as uncharacterized. Lineage: Eukaryota; Metazoa; Arthropoda; Insecta; Coleoptera; Chrysomelidae. The record is from RefSeq and is a predicted model, not a curated record. The transcript has 2 exons.
GGUUAUGUCCUAUCCCUAUCCUAUGUUGUAUUUUUUUUUGAGCUUUUUACAACAUUUACCGUACAAUUCUCCGAGACUAUUACUUUCAUUACUAAGCUGAAGCUUCCUUUUCUUCAGUUUUUCAUAGACUCACCUGCUUGUGGUGAUUAGAUACAGAUUGGUAAUCUUUUUGCUUUGGUGAAAUUGAGAGCUGAUAGACAAAACUGAGCAUCGGAAUCUAAAGCUUUUCGACUUUAAUGUAAGUUCCAAUAAAUAAUUUUAAACACUAGAUUGUAUUUUAGUUGAGUGAUUAAUAAAUAGAUAUAUAAAAUGGUA